Molecule: small nuclear RNA, 20 nt
Filed under: Arabidopsis thaliana (thale cress)
Lineage: Eukaryota; Viridiplantae; Streptophyta; Magnoliopsida; Brassicales; Brassicaceae
Description: snRNA_00184
Source: RNAcentral
UAGCCAAGGACAACUUGCCG